Long non-coding RNA from Heterocephalus glaber (naked mole-rat), 994 nucleotides. The record is from Ensembl. Lineage: Eukaryota; Metazoa; Chordata; Mammalia; Rodentia; Bathyergidae.
AACGGUUUAUGAGGCUUCGAAGCUCAGAAGCAAAGAUCCUCCUUGUGAAUCUCCUGAGUUGGGUCUGAGGUCAUUCCACAGCUGAGCCGGCAGACACCUGGGGUCCCACUAGGCAGAGGAGGAGCCUGAGCUGCUGCUGGCAGAGUGCCUUGCUGGACACCUCACAGGCUGAGCUACGGCCUUGUUUAUUCUCUCACGCGUCAGCUCCACAGGCCACAGUUGAUUGGAUGAGCCUGAUCACCUGACACAAGCUGGGCCAAUCACAUCCUCUCUCCUGGGAAUUUGGAAAAGAAGCGUCAGAGACACCAAAUACACCAAAUUAGAAGCUCUUCACUCUCGGUCUGUAUUGAAAUUGCCUGGGGAAAUUCUAAAACAUACACAAAUUCUCACAGGAAGUCCGGGCAUUCCCCUAGAUUCUGACUUUAGUUAGUCCAGCGUGGAAUGGUCUAAAUUAGAGCUUGGUUUUCAGGGCUUCCCAAUGCAGCAGGGAGCAGCACAGUGGAAGCAGGCACGCAGAGGACAAUGACAUGGACUUUGUCAGUGAGAAGCUGGAAUGAGAAACCCGGGCCUUAGCAAGUGUAGACAGUGCCUUCACUCCCAAGAGCUUUCUAAGUUUGGGUUCGAGGGCAGCCCCACCCUUCGUGAUAAUUUCUGCUCUUGAAUCCUUUUUCAAAAUACUUCCUCUGAAGCUACUUCUGGUAGUUUCUAUGCAUACAACAGAACGAAACUUCACCAAGCCAUUCUCACAGCUUGUUCAUCACAAUCCUGCUGAUUUUAUCCUAGAAAUCCUUCUUAAAUAUCAUCCCUGUGACCUUUGCAGAAAGAGUUCUCAGUUUUGUCCUUCCUCAGAGGACUCUUCUCAGGUGUCUUCUUUCAGUCCCCACACUAAGAAUACUUCAUUGGCCUCUCAUUGCUAUUAAAAUACAAAACAGUUCUGUAUAAACUGACCUGUAAAAAUAUGUCACUGAUUGGAAAAACAAACAAACCCGCCGAG